Molecule: ribosomal RNA, 392 nt
Filed under: uncultured bacterium
Lineage: Bacteria
Description: bacterial SSU rRNA
Rfam family: Bacterial small subunit ribosomal RNA
Source: RNAcentral
UAAUACGUAGGGGGCAAGCGUUAUCCGGAAUCAUUGGGCGUAAAGGGUGCGUAGGCGGCCCUAUGGGUCAGAGGUUAAAGGCUACGGCUCAACCGUAGUAAGCCUUUGAAACUGUAGGGCUUGAGUGCAGGAGAGGAGAGUGGAAUUCCUAGUGUAGCGGUGAAAUGCGUAGAUAUUAGGAGGAACACCAGUGGCGAAGGCGACUCUCUGGACUGCAACUGACGCUGAGGCACGAAAGCGUGGGUAGCGAACAGGAUUAGAUACCCUGGUAGUCCACGCCGUAAACGAUGAGUGCUAGGUGUUGGGGGUCAAACCUCGGUGCCGCAGUUAACGCAUUAAGCACUCCGCCUGGGGAGUACGUUCGCAAGAAUGAAACUUAAAUGAAUUGACGG